Molecule: ribosomal RNA, 253 nt
Filed under: uncultured bacterium
Lineage: Bacteria
Description: partial 16S ribosomal RNA
Rfam family: Bacterial small subunit ribosomal RNA
Source: RNAcentral
UACGUACGGCGCAAGCGUUAUCCGGAAUUAUUGGGCGUAAAGAGCGUGUAGGCGGCCCGGUAAGUCCGCUGUGAAAGUCCAGGGCUCAACCCUGGGAUGCCGGUGGAUACUGUCGGGCUCGAGUCCGGAAGAGGAGUGUGGAAUUCCUGGUGUAGCGGUGAAAUGCGCAGAUAUCAGGAGGAACACCAAUGGCGAAGGCAGCACUCUGGGACGUGACUGACGCUGAGACGCGAAAGCGUGGGGAGCAAACAGG